RNAcentral lists this long non-coding RNA (13792 nucleotides) under Homo sapiens (human). RNAcentral's name for it is "HSALNT0282402". The record is from RNAcentral. Lineage: Eukaryota; Metazoa; Chordata; Mammalia; Primates; Hominidae.
AUCAGGAUUUAGUAAGGAGAGAUUUUAUUUAAAAGGAUUAUUACAAGGGAGGGAAAAGGACUAUUGAAAUAGGGAGAGGAGGAUGACUGCAAUAGGGAGAAUGCUGUGACUAUAAGGUCUGCAAGAUUCUCAAAGCCAAACAGAAAAAGGUUUUUCUUUUAUAGAGGAAGGAGGAAGCAAGCAGGGAUAAAUAAUCUUUGGAAAGGAAGCUGGACAAGCAAGGGGCAUGCCCUGGGUCUUUGUGUUCGGGUUUAAGGACAAGCAGAGGGUAAGCAAUGGGCAACUGUGAACCCUUGAUCGGGGCAGAUGACACUCUCCAAGGCUUAUAGCUAGCCAGGUGCACCAAAGGGACAAACAAAUCACAGUCUUCUCCCUUUCUGAUCUUUUCUCCUGGCUUUCCCCCACUAAAUGGGCAGACUGGCUGCAAACUGGCUGAAAUCUUAGUUUGUGGCCUAUAAGACCAAGAAUCUUAUACAACUCUUAUAGGUUGCUUUAUCACUGACACCAAAAUCAGUUAUUAUGAAAUAACAUACAACUAAGAUUAUAAAGCCACCUGGGUCCAGGGCAUGGAUUUUUAUUUUUAUGUAUUUAGUUAUUCAUUGAGACAUGGUCUCUCUGUCACCCAGGCUGGAGUGCAGUGGCACAAUCAUAGCUCACUGCACCUACGUCACCCAAGCUGGUCUCAAAUUCCUGGCCUCAAGCAAUCCUCUCAACGUGCUGGGAUUACAGGUAUGAGCCACCGUGCCCGGCCCAGGAUGGUUUUUUUCAUAUAUAAAUGAGCCAAACAUGACCUCUAUGUGUUGGGAAAAGGGCGGGGGGUGCCUGUAUAAACAGAUACACAAUGCCAAUUUAUGCAGGCACCCCACAAGCCCUUUUCCCAAUGUCAAUGUAUUAACCCCUAGGUUAUUUCUUCCCUGCAGGCUGAGAUCCAUUAGUUCAAAUGCCCACCAGUGCCAAACUUAAAUAUUUGCACAUCCAAUUAUUUUUAUUUUUAUUUUUUAUUUGAGACAGAGUCUUGCUGUGUAGCCAGGCUGGAGCACAAUGGCUCGAUCUCGGCUCACUGCAACCUCCACCUCCCAGGUUCAAGCGAUUCUCCUGCUUCAGCCUCCUGAGUAGCUAGGACUACAGGUGCUCACCACCACGCCCAGCUAAUUUUUGUGUUUUUAGUAGAGAUGGGGUUUCAUCAGUUGGCCAGGAUGGUCUCGAUCUCUUGACCUCGUGAUCCGCCCUCCUGAGCCUCCCAAAGUGCUGGGAUUACGGGCGUAAACCACCGCGCCCAGCUCAGAUUAUUUUUUAAACUAGACCAAAGAGGCAGACUUUUUAGCAAUUUACAUCCUGCCUGUUUUGCAUACUCCACAAAAUCUCACCCCACAUCUGUUGACAAUAGAUAAGCCCUGGGCCAUAAAGACCCCAAGCCUCUGCUGCCCUUCUGAGCUCUCUGACCCAAUAACUCCACACUGCGGGCUGAGCAACAUCACCUAGACACGUAAGUCCCCUCUCUGACCCCCAUCUCCCCUAAGAAUUCCUUGCCUUCCUUCCCUUCUGAGUAACCUCUAUACAGACUCCUGCUGUGAGGGACUUCUGCCACAUACAAGCUGUCGAUGCACCACCCACUAAAGUUGUGUAUGCUACUGCCACCUCAUGAUAAUAUCAUUCCUCCAUCAGCCCCCAAAUCCCUCAAACCUCCUACAUCUCUGGCAAAAUUGGAGUUGACAGUGAAUACAGCUGUAUUACCUAGUGGUAAAAUAUUAAUAGCUCAGUAGUUCUGUACCUAUGUAACCCUACCCCCAUAUGAAUGGGAAUGGACUGAGGGGGAAGCACUUGCUAGAUUGGCAUUACUGACAGAAAUCUGAGUCAGUACAGUGACUGAACCUAACAUCCUUUCCAAAGGCCAAAAUGUUUGGAUAGAAAUAAUUGACAAAUGGAGAGAAGAAGAAAUAUGGUAGUUCAGGGGAAAUGAAUAAAUAAAUGGUUUAUGCAAUAGGGGAAAUCCAGUAUUACAUUGGUGCCUCGAGAGAGGCUCAGAUCAAGAGAAUUAUAUUGCCUUCUAGCACGAUUAUGCCAGAUCCCUGAAAGGUGAGGCCAUAUGUCUGCUGAAACUACUUCUCUUUUUGGAACCUGACAAGGUUGAAUGGAAGCCUGCAAACCUGAGUAACAUCAUUCUGGGAGACAUUUUGGGUACAUCAUAUGAUGAUGAACUGGACCAAUUGUUGAUGACUGAGUGAAACUCUACAUGACAGUAUCUUUAGACUCUUGUCAAAAGUAUAUUAUUUGGGGCCAGGCACAGUGGCUCAUGCCUGUAAUCCCAGAACUUUGGGAGGCUGAGGGGGGCGGAUCACCUGAAGUCAGGAGUUCAAGACCAGCCUGGCUAACAUGGAGAAACCCUGUCUCUACUAAAAAUACAAAAAUUAGCCUGGCAUCUGGCAGGUGCCUGUAAUCCCAGCUACUCAGGAGGGCUGAGGCAGGAGAAUCACUUGGACCUGGGAGGUGGAGGUUACAGUGAGCCAAGAUCGCCACCACUGCACUCCAGCCUGGGUAACAGAGUGAGACUCUGUCUCAAAAAAAAAAGGAUAUCAUUUGGGAAGGAGUUUCUAGGAGCUACACCCUGCCAGGCCAUCGGACUGUGUGGUGUAAAAUUCCGAGCAGACUGAUUACUGUGUAACUAUAGACCUUAAUGAUAGAAUGCUUAGAAAGGUCCCUGGUUUUAAGAGGCAAAAUAUAGCAGUAGCAUGUCUGACAUGCUACAGUUAGCCAUGCACAAAUGUAUAUCACCUUUGUUUUGUGGACAGAAAGUUAUCAGGUUGAUGCAAAAGUAAUUGCAGUUUUACAUUACAUUAAAAGUCAUGGCAAAAACCGCAGUUACUUUCGCACCAACCUAAUAUUAACCAGAAUAGAAAAAACAAUGGGUUUCAGAUGGGAUUAAAGCAGUAGACAUCAGGUGGUAGGCUCAAAUUCCCUAGGGAAAUGCCCCACCCUGAAAUGAGGAAGGCCAUGUGAGACUUUAUGUCAUGCCCAGACUAAAUUACAUCUAGAUGUGAUUACCACUCAUCUAACCCUGUUAUGGGGGUCCCAACAUUUUGGGAUACACAACAUGUGUCCUAGCUGCACUCAGGCCAGCAGUGCACAAUGGCAACAACAUGCAUAGUGGAUUAAACAACAUUGACCACAGAACAGAAAAGAGCUUUAAGGGAGAAAGAUGCUGGUCUAGGGAUUGUGGGACAAGUUCAAUUUGCUUUUAAGGAGAAGCAGCAUUCAGAGGAAAAGAUGUAUUAAUUAGAAUAAGUAGACUAGAGAGAUUCUCUUCCAGGAGAAAGACAAAGGAUGAGUGUCAGCCUGGGAUAACAAAGCUUUAGUGAAGUGGGGCAGGCAGACUCAACAAAUAAUGCUGGGUAAUGCUAGGAUCCAGUAUUGGGAAAGGGUUUGUACCCAGACCCAGCAAGGCCUCUUGACUAUUUUAAUACAGAUGGAGGCUGAAAUGGCCAUAAGGACUCCUGUGUCCUCCCCACAGAAGGGAGAUGGGCCCUAAUUUAUAACAGCACAUAAUGGAAAUCAGUCUCAGUCUCAGUACAAGCCUGUGGAUUGAGAUAGAUGGUGGGUUUUGUCCUCAAUUGUCUUAGAACCCAGAAAUAACCAAGAAUCAAGUUGUAGCUCAUCGUAAUAAUACUUGACAGGAAUAAUAUCUGGUAUAUGCACAAGUGCUGAUUCUGUUAGGAAGGCUUAGCAAAUACCUCUAUAAUUCUUACUGACUUGAAUCAUACUCUGACCAUACUGUGAUAGGGUGUAACACUGGCAUUGUUAGUAAGAUUAAAUUGCCUUAUAUAAAUAACUCAUGUGAUAAUACAGAUAUUAAUAAUCAAAUUUAUUGGAAGAUUGAGUUAAAGCUUAUUCAGGAUGUAAUACUGGUGGGGAAUCACUAGUCCGAGGAAGAACUAGAUUUAGCUAGCCAUCAGCUAAUGUUUAUCCUAAAUAGUUCUGUACAGAUUUAUCAUAAGGUACAAAUAGCAGUAGAUCGAGAGGGUAAAUGAAUAAUCAAAUUAGACCAUGCACAGUGGCUCAUGCCUGUAACCCCAGCACUUUGGGAGGCUGAGGCUGGUGGAUCAUCUGAGCCCAGGACGCAGAGGUUGCAGUGAGCCAAGAUUGUGCCAGUGCACUCCAGUCUGGGUAAUAGAGCAAGACUGUGUCUCAAAAUAAAUAAAUAAUCAAAUUAGUAUGAAAUGUAAUGGUUUUGUAAGAUGGAUUAGUUGUUUCUUUAAAUCUACCCCUACCCUACACUGGCUCUUCCAAAUGUUAGGAAUAUGCAAACUGAUACUAUCGCUGUGUCUGGUAUAUGCUGUGUUAAAUACUACACUAAAUGUAGAUGCUCAAACAAAUUUUAUCAUUUUGCUGUAAUAAAACCUAGGCCAAGGGCCAGAAGAGUGGACUAUGCAGUAAAGUGUUAACUCAGCAGGCCUAGGCUGCCCAAACCCUGCACAUUCCAAAUGUCUUUAGAAUUGACCCUGGACCAACUCCUAAAAAUAAUCUCUGAGCCCUUGGAAUAUCUUGCCUGAUAAGAGUGUCUUUGUAUACCUGAAACCUUGGGGCAAGACAAAUAGUUUAUGCUAACAAUGUGAUCUAUGUGAAUGCCUAUUUUUGUAUGCUUGGGAUUUUGGGUCACACUGUAUCAGUUUGACCUCUGGCGAGCUGGGGUCUAAAUGGCUAAGGUCAAGUCUUAUGCAUUCUGAGCCUACAGAACUGGCCCUCAAUAAAAAACCCUAGACGUCAAGGCUCAGGUGAGUUUCCCUGGUUGGCUAUACUUUAUAUGUGUUGUCACAUAUCAUUGCUGGGAAAAUUAAGUGCUAUUCACUUGACUCUACUCAGAAAGGAUAACCGGAAGCUUCUGCCUGGUUUCUCCUCAACUCUGCUCUAUGCACCUUUUUCCUUUGCUGGUUUAAUCUGUAUCUUUAGCUAUAAUAAACCAUAACCAUGAAUAGAACCAUUCUUCUGAGUUCUGUGAGUUCUUCUAGUGAAUUAUCAAGUCUGAGAGUGGUUUAGGGGACCCCCAACACAGUAUUCCCUACUAGGUUUUCCACGAAACAAACAAAAUAGAAAAAAGAAAACAAUUGAAAAACAUGCAUCAGAGAAAUUUAGAGAGAAUAAAGAGAUUAAUAAGUUCGAGACCAGCCCAGCCAACAAGUUCAAGACCAGCCUGGCCAACAUGGUGAAACCCCAUCUCUACUAAAAAAUGCAAAAAUUAGCCGAGCGUGGUAGAAGGCACCUAUAAACCCAGCUACUCAGGAGGCUGAGACAGGACAAUUGCUUGAACCUGGGAGGUGGAGGUUGCAGUGAGCUGAGAUUGCACCACUGCACUCCAGUCUGGGUGACAGAGUGAGACUCUGUCUCAAAAAAAAAAAAAAAAAGAGAGAGAGAGAGAUUAAUAGCUCAUAUGACCUUACUUCUGUAUAAACUGCACAUUUGUCUGUGAAAAGGGCAAACAUCAUCAGCUACAUGAUUUCAUUCUCCAUAAAGAGAAAAUAGGUCAACUUCUUAGGAAGUAAAAAUUUCCAGGCCAGGUGUGGUGGCUCAUGCCUGUAAUCCCAGCAUUUUGGGAGACCUAGGCAGGCGGAUCACCUGAGGUCAGGUGUUAGAGACUACCCCAUCUCUAUUAAAAAUACAAAAAAUUAGCCGGGUGUGGUGGCAUGCGCCUGUAAUCCCAGCUACUCAGGAGGCUGAGGUAGGAGAACCGCUUGAACCUGGGAGGUGGAGGUUGCAGUGAGCCAAGAUUGACUCACUGCACUCCAGCCUGGGCAACAGAGUGAGACUCCAUCUUAAAAAAAAAAAAAAAAAAAGCAAAAACAAACAAAAAAAAAAAACAACCCCCCCCCCCAAAAAAAAACAGGCACUUAGGCCUAAUAAAUGUUAUUGUUGAUUCUUUCUAAAGGUCAGUAGUGAUUUUCAGCUCAGGACUCUCUCAAUGAAACUGUUUUUAAAUUUUUCUGGUAGAUGCUUGCAGAGCAGAGAGUGGGAUUUCCUGGUUUUCUAUGGCUUCUUUGCUGUUGUCUCUGUAUGUGAGUUCAUACCCAACUCAAGGCAAAUUCCUUCUCCUAUACUCUUCCACUAGAAAAGUCUUUAUUAUUAUUUUCUCCCUACAAAUAUGAUCUACAUGUGGAGCAAAAUAUGUAAACAACAUAAAUACGUAAACACUAGGAAAGGAAAAGCCUCUAUAAAUGGACAAGGAAAAUCCUCCAUAAUCUAACUUCUGACUCCCAACUCAACCUAACCAUGAUUAUCUGGCUUGAAAUAAAGCCUAACAGGCUUUAUUUACUAUGCAUAUAAUCCUGUCUAUCUGUGUGUUGUUUUGUGUAAAAUGAGUGUGCUGUUCAUUAUAUUCUGUAUUUUCCUUGACAAAAAAAAUCUGCUAUAUACUGUGUCUUGCAAUUUGCUUCGUUCAUGGUAGAUUUCAGCAUAAUUUGAAAAAAAAAGUUUAUAAAGGAAAACCUACCAAUCUUCUCUCUUAUGAAAUCUAGAUUUUCUGUAAUGCUUUAAAAGGGCUUCCCCACAAAGAAUUUAUAAGCAAAAGAUUAUCUUGUUUCUCUUGUGUUUCUCUUAUUACUUUUACAGUUUCAAUAUGUUAGGUUUAAAUUUUUGUCAUGUGGAACUUUUUAUGUAAGGUUUCUUCUUUUACUAAGGAAAGAGACCACCACUUCCCCUGCUGCCUUCCUCUCCCCUUGUCUUGCCUAGUUUAUAAGACAAGAGGAAAGGGAGAAAACAAAAAGUUGGAAAGAAACAAAAGUAAGAUAAAUGGCCAGACGACCUUGGCACCACCAUCUGGCCUUGGUGGUUAAAAAUAAUAAUCAUCACGUUCUCCAUGGUUGCCUGAUCUUUCAUGACCCUUUCACGUGGACCCUUUAGAGUUGUAAGCCCUUAAAAAGGCCUUUUUUCUUUUUUGAGGAGCUCAGCUCUCAAGACGUAAGUCUGCCGAAGCUCCCAGCCGAAUAAAGCCCCCUUACUUCUUUAACCCGGUGUCUGAGGAGUUUUGUCUGUGGCUCGUCCUGCUACAUUACAACUUCUGUAGUUUCUGGAUUUUUAAAAUGUUUACCUUUUUGUUACAUCUGGAAUUUAUUUCAUGUAUGGUAUGAAAUAGGUAGAAGGCCCAGUGGGUAAGGCUCCAACUAUUUUUUUCUGAUGGCUACUCAGUAUUGAAUAAUCUUUCUUCCAGGUACAUGAAAUGUCACUGUAUUAGUCUGUUCUCACACUGCUAUGAAGAAAUACCCAAGAUUGGGUAGUUUAUAAAGGAAAGAGGUUCAAUUGACUCUGCAGCGCUGGGGAGGCCUCAGGAAACUUACAAUCAUGGCAGAAGGGAAAGCAAACACAUCCUUCUUUGCAUGGCAGCAGCAAGGAGGAGUGCAGCGUGGAGGGGAAAGCCCCUUAUAAAACCAUCAGAUCUCAUGAGAACUCACUAUCAUGAAAACAGCAUGGAGGUAACCGCCCCCAUGAUUCAAUUACCUCCUACCAGGUCCCUCCCACUACACAUGGGGAUUAUGUGAACUACACCUCAAGAUGAGAUUUGGGUGGGAACACAGCCAAACCAUAUCAGUCACUUAUGUUUGUAAAUUCUCACUUGUAUUUUGUUCUCUUUCUGGUCUCUAUUCUCUUUCAAUGACUACUCUGCUAAUGGCAUUUAUAAAGGAAAGAGGUUCAAUUGACUCUGCAGUGCUAAUGGCAGAGUAGUCAUUCCCUAACAGCCUCAGAAAAAAACUAGCCCUUCCAAAACCUUGAUUUUAGACUUCUGGCCUCCAGAACUGUGAGAUAAUACAUUUCUAUCUUUUAAACAACUCAGUCUAUGGUACUUUAUUAUGGCAGCCCUAGCAAACAAGCACACCUUCUUUUGUUACUUUAAAUGUGUACUUUUUUUUUUUUUUUGAGACAUAGUCUCACUCUGUCAUCCAGGCUGGAGUACAAUCAUGGCUCACUGCAGCCUUAACUUCUGAGGUUCAAGCAAUCCUCCUACCUCAGCCUCCUGAGUAGCUAGGACUACAGGUGCAUACCACCAGGCCUGGCUAAUUUUUUUAUUUUUCAUAGAGAUGGGGUCUCAUUAUGUUAUCCAGUCUGAUCUUGAACUCCUGGCCUCAAGUCAUCCUCUCACCUUGGCCUCCCAAAGUGCUGGGAUUACAGGUGUGAGCCACCAUACCCAGCCUAUACUAAACGGUCUAUGUCUAAUAACUUCUAUAUCUGAAGUUGUAUAGGUUUGACUGUCGUUUUUUAUGAAUCUUGCUAAUAGUGUUUUGUGUCUUGUUAUCUUGUGUGCACUAUGAGUUUUUACACUGUGGGUUCCUAUAUUUUGAAAUUUUAUCUGUGGGUUGAAAGGUGGCUUACACCAAAGUGGAUUUAUGUUUACUUCUCUCAGGCAUCUUGGGUCACUACAACCUGGGACCAUUUCAAGUAAAUCCUUGAGGUGUUUUGCUGAUACACUGGAGAUGUGACUUGAGGCUGCAAAGAAGCAUGAUGGCAGCUAAUCCUCUGGCUCAGGGCUUUUGUACUUGCUAUUCCCUCUGCCUGGCAUGACCUACUUCAAAUCCUCCUUCACUUCCUUUGGAUCUCUGCUCAAAUGGCACCCUAUUAUUGAGACCUUCCCUGCCCACCCCACAUCCACAGGUGAUUCCUUGUUCCCCUAUCUUGAUUUACUUUCAUUCAUCACCAGAGGAUGAAUACUUAUACACACAGACACACACAUGCACACAACAGAAACCUAUAACUAUCUAUGUAUCACCUUUUUAUUAUCCAUGUCCCCACAAAGCAGGAACUAUUUUUUCUGCUUUGUUCACUGUAGAAUACUCAAAAUAGGCUGGGCGUGGUGGCUCACGCCUGUAAUCCCAGCACUUUGGGAGGCAGAGGUGGGCGGAUCACAAGGUCAGGAGAUCGAGACCAUCCUGGCCAACAUGGUGAAACCCCGUCUCCACUAAAAUACAAAAAAAUUAGCCAGGCAUGGUGGCGUGCACCCGUAGUCCCAGCUACGCAGCAGGCUGAGGCAGGAAAAUCGCUUGAACCCGGGAGGCAGAGGUUGAGAUGAGCUGAGAUCAUGCCACUGCACUCCAGCCUGGAGACAGAGAGAUACUCCGUCUCAAAAAAAAAAAAAAAAAAAAAAAAACAAAAAAAACAACUCAAUGGGGUCUGCCAUGCAGUACAUGCUCAACAAAGGUUUGCUGAACAUGAAAAAACAAUGUCUGGCCGGGCACAGUGGCUCACGCCUGUAAUCCCAGCACUUUGGGAGGCCAAGGUGGGCGGAUCACGAGGUCAGGAGAUCGAGACCAUCCUGACUAACACGGUGAAAGCCCAUCUCUACUAAAAAUACAAAAAAAAAUUAGCCAGGCAUGGUGGCAGGCGCCUGUAGUCCCAGCUACUCAGGAGGCUGAGGCAAGAGAAUGGCAUGAACCCGGGAUGCAGAGCUUCCAGUGAGCUGAGAUCGCGCAGCUGCACUCCAGCCUGGGUGACAGAGCAAGACUCCGUCUCAAAACAAGCAGACAAACAAACAAAAAAACAAUGUCCAUCCACACUCUGGGAGAUUUUUAGGAAAUUCUUCACUGUUCCUGUGGCUUGCUGCAAGCACUGACUUCACAGGAAAUCAGACCGCAGAAGCUCGGCCACAGCAACCUCAACAAAACAGACACUCCACUGUCUGAGUCUGCUCAGGCUGCUAUAACAAAGAUACCAUAAACUGAGUAACUUAUAAACAACAGAAAUUUCUUUAUUACGACUCUAGAGGCUGACAAAUCCAAUAUCAAGGUGCCAGCAGAUUUGGUGUCUGGCGAGGGCCCAUUUAUCAUUGAUGGCAUCUCCUUGAUGUAUCCUCACAUGGUGGAAGGGGCAAACAAGCUCCGUCAGGCCUCUAUUAUUAGGUCACUAAUCCCAUUCAUGAGGGCAGAACCCUUGAGAUCAAAUCACCUCCCAAAGGCCCCACCUUCUAAUAUCAUCACUUUGGUAAUUAGGUUUCAAAAUAUGAAUUUUGGGAGUACACAAACGCAUCCACUAUUGCUACCCCUUCACUUUGAGAGUAUCUGCCAAACCAAGAUUACUGAAGCUGCAAUUCUCAAGAACAUGGCCUGCUCAAGAUUACCUUUUCAGGGAGAAAAAAAAAAAACGACUAAAAUUGGAAGAGCAGAGAAGGAACUGCCUUGAGUUGGGUUGAGACCCCACAAACUCUGAGAUGACAGCAAAGGAGCCAUGGAAAACAAGGAAACUAUCCCACUCUCCAAGCCCCUGCCAGAGAACUUUAACUAAAAACAGUCUCUUUAGAACAACUACUGACAAUACCACCCUGGACUGAAAACCACUGACCUUCAGGAAAACUCAGUAAUAAAAUUCCUCAAGUUAAAGUCCCAGAAAUCUUGACUUGCUAAGGAGCUGGACUGAUUUCUUUUUGUGGAGAAUGCAAAUCACAUUAUUGAUCAUGUUAUGUUACCCUUUUCACUGAAGCUGCCAGUCAAAAUGUUUUGCUUAUAGUCAAAAUUUUAGCUAAGUUUCUAUGAAGUAAGGCCAGGUGAUCUGUGUAUCUUCACAGCAAUUUUGCCUGUUGAUCAUCUAUUCUCUCUAAAUUUCUCUAAUCCUUAUUUUCAACUAAUUGCCCUUUCUCAUUUUGUUGUGGGAAAACCAAGUGGCAAACAAAUAACUUACCUGGGACUCAAUCAUUUUCUGUUUCUCUUUGGAAAGCAGUUGGGGGCGGGGUGGGGUGCAGAAGAGUCUUCGGAGAUCAAGCUGAGUUAACCACUCUUCAACAGCUGGAUGUGACAAUGUGUUGCUUGUUAAUUCAUUGAUGACUUGUGUUUCUCAUCUGACUCGGUAAUUCCAUUUCCGGAACUUCGUCCUAAGGUAAUAAUCAUGGAUAUGUGCAGAUAUUUAACCACAGAAACCUUCAACACAGUUUUGUCUUUAACACCAUAUUAUUGAAAAUAACACAAAUGCCCAGCACUAAAGACUGCUGCAAAGGCAGGCAGCCCUUAAAAGCAACACUCCAGAUGAUUCAAAAAGGUUCAGGAAACACCACCAGCAAAUGUAAAGUAUGGUCUUGUCUGGCUCUUUACUUGAAUAAACAAAAGAAAUUUUUGAGAUAAUCAUGAAAGUUUGAACCCUGACUAGAUAUUUGAUAACAUUAAGGAAUUUAACCAUUGAUUAUCUGAAGAUAUUAUUGCUAAUUAUUUUACCUUAGGGUAACAGCAUCAACCUUUAAGGCCUUAUCUUUUUCAUAAUGAAGCAUGUAUGGAUGAAAAUAUGUGUCUGGGAUUUGUUUCAAAAUAAUAAAGACUACCCAUGUAAAAAGUCAUUGAACUGCAUACAGGCCGGGUGCGGUGGGCCAGCACGUUGGAAGGCCAAGGCGGGUGGAUUGCCUGAGCUCAGGAAUUGGAGACCAGCCUGAGCAACAUGGCGAACCCCAUCUCUACUAAAAAAAUGCAAAAAGCAGCCAGGCGUGGUGGUGCAUGCUUGUAAUCCCAGCAUGUUGGGAGGCGGAGGUGGGCAAAUUGCUUGAGCCCAGGAGUUGAAGACCAGCCUGGGCAACAUAGGGAGACCCAUCUCUACAAAAAAUUAGCCUGGCGUGGCGGUGCACAGCUGUAAGCCCAGCACUUUGGGAGGCUGAGGCAGGCAGAUGGCUUGAGCCCAGGAGUUCGAGACCAACCUGGUCAACAUGGCAAAAUUCGCCUCUACUAAAAAUACAAAAAUUAGCCAGGCGUAGUGGUGGGCGCCUGUAUUCCCAGCUACUAGGGAGACUGAGACAUGAGAAUCACUUGAACCCAAGGAGGUGGCAUUUGCAGUGAGCCGAGAUUGAGCCACUGCACUUCAGCCUGGGCAACGAGCGAGUGAGGAAAGAGGAAAGAAAGGCAAGAAAGGCAGGAAGGAAGGCAGGAGGGAAGGCAGGAAGGAAGGCAGGACAGAAGGCAGGAAGGAAGGCAGGAAGGAAGGGAGGGAGGGAGGAAGAAGGAAGGAAGGAAGGAAGGAAGGAAGGAAGGAAAGAAAAGAAAAGAAAAGAAAAAAGAAAAGAAAAGAAAAGAAAAGAGGGAGGGAGGGAGAGAGGAAGGAAGGAAGGAAGGAAGGAAGGAAGGAAGGAAGAAAGGGAGGAAGGGCAUUCCGGGAGGAAGAAGUGAGGGGGUGGCCUAGAUGAGGACUUGGCAAACUUUUUCUGUAAAAGGGUCAUAUGGUAAAUGUUUUCAAUUUUGUGGGUUCUGUGGUCUCUGCUGUAACUACUCAGCCCUGCCAUUGCAGGUUGAAAGUAGCCCUAGACAAUACAUAAACUAAAGGUGUUCACUGGCUGUGUUCCAAUUAAACAUCAUUUUUGGGCACUGACAUUUGAAUUUUAUAUCAUUUUCAUGGGUCACAAAAUAUUCUCCAUUUGAUUUUUUUCCAAUGAUAAAAAGUGUGAAAAAACCAUUUCUUAGCUCAUGGCUGUAUUUUUUUUUUAAAAAGCAACAUGUCAUAUUUGGCCCACUGCCCAGUUUUCCAGCCCCUGGUCUAGAUAAAACAAGAUGGGCCAUGAGUUGAUGACUGAUGAGACUGGGUGGUGGGCAUAAUGGGGUUCCAUUAUACAAUUCCCUCUAUUUUUGUGGAUGCUUGAAAAUUUCCAUAAGAAAGGUUUAUAGUUAAGUAUUACCAUAGAAAUAAACCAAGUCGUACUACGGGAAUUAAGUUAAUGGCAUGGAAACAUCACUGUAAAAUGAAGAAGAGGCAGAACACAAGAAUGUAUUCCUAAUUGUUUAAUAACAGAAUAACAGGCCAGGGGUGGUGGCUCACACCUGUCAUCCCAGUACUUUGGGAGGCCAAGGCAAGAGGAUUGCUUGAGUCCAGGAGUUCGAGGCCAGCCUGAGCAACAUAGUGAGACCUCGUUUCUACAAAAAAUAAACAAAAUUAGCCGGGCGUGGUGGUGCACACCUGUAGUCCUGGCUACUUGGCAGGCUGAGGCAGGAGAGUCACUUGAAUCCGGGAGGCGGAGGUUGCAAUGUGCUGAGAUCACGCCAUUGCACUCCAGCCUGGGCAACAGAAUGAGACCCUGUCAAAGAAAAAAAAAAAGGAAAAGAAAAGAAAACAAAAAAAAAAUACCAUGUAGAUCACACAUUCUCACUGGGGGGUGAUACUGCCCCCAAGGGGACAAAAAUUAGUUCUUGGAGGCAAAACAAAACAAAACAAAACAAAAACAAAAAAAAGCUUCUUAGAUAUUACAAUGGGUUGUGACCCUCCAAAGCAACCAUAGCUGACAAAACCUUAUUCCUUGGUAUUUAAUUUCCUUCACCAGAUUUUGGUAUUACAUGAGCAGCAGUAACCUUGAGUUCAAGGAAGAUCCAUGAAAUAUAUACAAAAUUAGUGCUGCAAAACUAUGGCGAAUAGGUAACAUUCAGGUAUUAACUCACUUCUCAUCCCAAGCCUCACAGGGUAGGCCCUGCUAUUAUCCUCAUUUCGCAGUGGGAAACUGAUGCCUAGAGAGGUUUCAUGAGUUGUCUAAGAUCACACUGCCAGUGAUUUAGAGCGAGGUGGUAGAGGAACAAAAAGUAAAGAACUCCUCCCAAGCUGUCCUAGCACUAAGAUUUUCAGGCAACACCCCUUGCUUCUGGAUGCCCUAAAAAAUUAGUUAUCCUCCUAAAUUCCACAGGACAUUGUCUGUUUUUUUUUUUUUUGUUUUUUGUUUUUUGUUUUUGAGAUGGAGUCUCGCUCUGUCGCCCAGGCUGGAGUGCAGUGGCGCGAUCUCGGCUCACUGCAAGCUCCGCCUCCCUGGUUCACUCCAUUCUCCUGCCUCAGCCUCCCCAGUAGCUGGGACUACAGGAGCCCGCCACCACGC